This is a non-coding RNA of Callithrix jacchus (white-tufted-ear marmoset), 1526 nucleotides long. The record is from RefSeq and is a predicted model, not a curated record. Lineage: Eukaryota; Metazoa; Chordata; Mammalia; Primates; Cebidae.
AGAAAAAUUCAUCUCCUAUGCUGCCUUUUUGCAACUUUCAUAUUUGCUGAAAGAUGUGUUCUAUCAACACUUGAGAGAAAAAUGAGAAAGAUGAAGUCAUGAGAUCCAGAAAGCAGAUCAUAUACAGGAGUGAGAAUCAAGAUAACGUGAAGGGAACAGAGACACGCACACACUCAUGAACUCAACCCAGGAAUUGCCAAAAUGUGACAACGUGACGCAAAUACAUGAGGCGAGCACAUGUUGGAAGAACUGGUGCCAAUAGACUUGCUUGACCCAGGGUUGCCAGAAACCUUCAACUGAUUUUUAAAAACGCCGCAUCUGAGAAGCACGAUGAAGUGAAGUGGAGUAAAAUGAAGCCUGUGCCCCCCAGAAGCCAGGAAAAAACACGCUUCAGGAAAGAGGGAGAGGUCGCCUAUGUCAAAAACUGCCAGAGGUCAAGAGAAAGGACUGGAAAUUGAUGACUGAACUGAGGAGCGUGAAGGUCACUGGUGACCUCAACAUGAGUUUUUUCAGGAGAAUGUUUGGGGCAAAUACUUAAGUUUAAGUGGAUUCGAGGGAGGACAGGAAGGGAGGAGCUGACAGUGUGACAGACAACUCUUCCAAAUUAUGCUUUCUUGCUACCCCUUGGCUGUUCAGGGUACAUCCAGGCUGCUUCCUAUCCUUGUCCUUCUCUUUGAUUUUCCAUUUUCUCUCUUCUCUCCUGCCACCCUCCACCCCCCAAAAACCUGCCUGUUCCACUUAUCAUUCCUUUAAGCCCUAUCUUCUUUAAGGAAAAAAUAUCUAAUAAACUGAUAGGCACCAAGAUAUUAAGAGUUGAUUGAUGCCAGUUAACCAUCAAUACUGUUCAGACCCCAAGACCCUCGCUACCCUUGGAUGACGAUAAAAGACGAAGAGGUCUCGGAAGGGCGGGGGAAAUGUUUCUGCAGGCUGAUGGAAGGCUACAGAAAAGAAGAGGCGUGGAGAAAAUGGGCACACUCAAAAGAGACCAAGUCGGGCAGUGAAAAGAAAAGGUGGGGCCAUGCUAUAAACAGCGGGCAGCGCUCAUUACCCACGUGCAGGGACACUACAGUACCGGAUACUGUACUGUAGUGGGACACCACAUGCAGGGACACUGGACCUGCUUGCACCAGUGACAACCAUCUUUGAAAAAAACCCUAGAGUUUUAAAAUUAGAAACUAGAGUUCUGGCAUGGUGCUUUUCCAGUAAUUUUGUAAAAAUAUGUUAGUUAAUUAUGAGACAACUCCAUAUUAAUCAAAGAGCCCUGGCCCAGGAAAGAAAAAAAUGAGCUGUGUCAGAACCAGCUGCUCAACCACAGGCAAGUCUCCAUGCUUCUCUGUGGCUCAGUAUCCCUGUUUAUAGGGGUUGGAACGAAUAACUAAGCUUCCUCCCUUCUCUAAAAACGGGUGUCGAUUCAACGUAAGAUUGGUUUUCUACUGCCAGUUACGGUGUUUCUAAUGGUACUUGAUUCUCGCCCUACUAAAAGCCACUAAAGGGAAGAAAAACAUUUUUUAUAUUAAAAAUGUAAA